CCUACGGGUGGCAGCAGUGAGGAAUAUUGGUCAAUGGGCGGGAGCCUGAACCAGCCAAGCCGCGUGAGGGAAGAAGGUACAGCGUAUCGUAAACCUCUUUUGUCAGGGAACAAAGGCGGGGACUAGUCCCCGGAUGAGGGUACCUGAAGAAAAAGAAUCGGCAAAAUCCGUGCUAGCAGCCGCGGUAAAACGGAGGUUGCGAGCGUUAUCCGGAUGUAUUGGGGUUAAGGGGUGGGCAGGCGGCCUGUUAAGUCAGCGGUAAAAGCCCGGGGCUCAACCCAGGCGGGCCGUUGAAACUGGCGGGCUGGAGUUGAGGAGAAGUACGCGGAAUGCGCGGUGUAGCGGUGAAAUGCUUAGAUAUCGCGCAGAACCCCGGUUGCGAAGGCAGCGUACCGGCUCCACACUGACGCUGAGGCACGAAAGCGUGGGUAUCGAACAGGAUUAGAUACCCUUGUAGUC
RNAcentral lists this ribosomal RNA (459 nucleotides) under uncultured bacterium. RNAcentral describes it as "partial 16S ribosomal RNA". It matches the Rfam family "Bacterial small subunit ribosomal RNA", at positions 338 to 795 of the family's 1533-position model. The record is from RNAcentral.